GUGCUCACUUCGGCAGCACAUAUACUAAAACUGGAACGAUACAGAGAAGAUUAGCAUGGUCCCUGUGCAAGGAUGGCACGCAAAUUCAUGAAGCAUUCCAUAUGUUU
Molecule: small nuclear RNA, 107 nt
Filed under: Colobus angolensis palliatus
Lineage: Eukaryota; Metazoa; Chordata; Mammalia; Primates; Cercopithecidae
Source: RNAcentral